RNAcentral lists this ribosomal RNA (1287 nucleotides) under Bacillus licheniformis. RNAcentral's name for it is "bacterial SSU rRNA". It matches the Rfam family "Bacterial small subunit ribosomal RNA", at positions 134 to 1405 of the family's 1533-position model. The record is from RNAcentral. Lineage: Bacteria; Bacillati; Bacillota; Bacilli; Caryophanales; Bacillaceae.
AAGACUGGGAUAACUCCGGGAAACCGGGGCUAAUACCGGAUGCUUGAUUGAACCGCAUGGUUCAAUUAUAAAAGGUGGCUUUUAGCUACCACUUACAGAUGGACCCGCGGCGCAUUAGCUAGUUGGUGAGGUAACGGCUCACCAAGGCAACGAUGCGUAGCCGACCUGAGAGGGUGAUCGGCCACACUGGGACUGAGACACGGCCCAGACUCCUACGGGAGGCAGCAGUAGGGAAUCUUCCGCAAUGGACGAAAGUCUGACGGAGCAACGCCGCGUGAGUGAUGAAGGUUUUCGGAUCGUAAAACUCUGUUGUUAGGGAAGAACAAGUACCGUUCGAAUAGGGCGGUACCUUGACGGUACCUAACCAGAAAGCCACGGCUAACUACGUGCCAGCAGCCGCGGUAAUACGUAGGUGGCAAGCGUUGUCCGGAAUUAUUGGGCGUAAAGCGCGCGCAGGCGGUUUCUUAAGUCUGAUGUGAAAGCCCCCGGCUCAACCGGGGAGGGUCAUUGGAAACUGGGGAACUUGAGUGCAGAAGAAGAGAGUGGAAUUCCCCGUGUAACGGUGAAAUGCGUAAAAAUGUGGAAGAACCCCAAUGGCGAAGGCGACUCUUUGGUUUGGUACUGAAGGUUAAGCCGGGAAGGCUGGGGAGCGGACCAGAAUAAGUAACCUGGUUGUUCCCGCCGGUAACGAAUAAUGCUUAAUGGUAAAAGGGUUUCCGCCUUUAAUGGUGCCAGCAACGCCAUUAACCAUUCGGCUUGGGAAGACCGGUCCCAGAAUGGAAAUUCAAAGGAAUGGACGGGGGCCCGCCCAACCGGGGAAGCAGGGGGUUUAAUUCGAAGCAACGCGAAGAACCUUACCAGGUCUUGACAUCCUCUGACAACCCUAGAGAUAGGGCUUCCCCUUCGGGGGCAGAGUGACAGGUGGUGCAUGGUUGUCGUCAGCUCGUGUCGUGAGAUGUUGGGUUAAGUCCCGCAACGAGCGCAACCCUUGAUCUUAGUUGCCAGCAUUCAGUUGGGCACUCUAAGGUGACUGCCGGUGACAAACCGGAGGAAGGUGGGGAUGACGUCAAAUCAUCAUGCCCCUUAUGACCUGGGCUACACACGUGCUACAAUGGGCAGAACAAAGGGCAGCGAAGCCGCGAGGCUAAGCCAAUCCCACAAAUCUGUUCUCAGUUCGGAUCGCAGUCUGCAACUCGACUGCGUGAAGCUGGAAUCGCUAGUAAUCGCGGAUCAGCAUGCCGCGGUGAAUACGUUCCCGGGCCUUGUACACACCGCCCGUCACACCAC